This 2632-nucleotide small RNA is filed under the name Pan troglodytes (chimpanzee). RNAcentral describes it as "retained intron". The record is from RNAcentral. Lineage: Eukaryota; Metazoa; Chordata; Mammalia; Primates; Hominidae.
GCUGAAUGCCAGGCCCACCCUUGCCCAUGCUGGGGAGGCAGCGUGGCCAUCCCCAUGACACAGCACAGGUGCCCAGGUCUCGGAGAGCCCCUCCCAGGGACACGCCCACCAGGCUUGCCCUUUGGAGCCUCUCCUGACCUUGGCCAGCGUGGGAGCUGCUGUCCCUGGGAGGAUCCGCCGCCCGCCCCAGGCGCUCACCAGCCUGGCUUCCACAGCUGCUACCCACAGGGGCUGCCGGGGCCUGCAUGGCGUGGCGAGGGUCAGGGAUGGUGAGCGCCCCACCCAUUCCUUCAUCCGUCACCUAAUAAAUGUGCUCUGAGGGUCCCAGUCCCCACUCUUUAGGCCACAGACUGUGGGGAUGUGGGAGGUCAGAUUUAAGCUAUUUUAGUGCAACCGAAGGUGCAGGUUGGGGGAUGUGGCUGGGGCGCCUGGGCCCUGGGACCCACACCCUGUGCAGCCGAGGCUGUUGCCUGCAGGAUUCAGUGCCCGGCCAUCCUGGCUGCCCUGGCCACCCUCCUGGGAGCUGUCCUCAGCUUCACCUGCAUCCCCGCCAGCACCAAAGGGGCCAAAACUGACGCCCAGGCUCCACUGCCAGGCGGCCCCCGGGCCAGUGUGUUCGACCUGAAGGCUAUCGCCUCCCUGCUGCGGCUGCCAGACGUCCCGAGGAUCUUCCUGGUGAAGGUGGCCUCCAACUUCCCCACAGGGCUCUUCAUGGUCAUGUUCUCCAUCAUCUCCAUGGACUUCUUCCAGCUGGAGGCCGCCCAAGCUGGCUACCUCAUGUCCUUCUUCGGGCUCCUCCAGAUGGUGAGUGGGCACACAGGGCCUGCUGGGGGGCACGGCAGGGGUCUCCAGUGGGGCAGGCCUCUGAGAGUAGAGGCUCCUCCCUGGCGGAGGCUGGGGAGCCCUUGGCCUCCCAUCUGGCACAUGUCAGGGUCCACAGGGAACCAGGCAUACAGGCCAGGGAGGGAGAGCCAACUGCAGUGGUGGGCACGCUGUGAGGACAGUGGACUCCGGCCUCUGAUGGGCAGCUGGCUGGGAUCUGUGGCAGCCCACCUGCCCACCAGCUGUGUGACCAGAGCAAGUCUCCCAAACUCUCCAAAUCUGUCCCAUGAGGCCAAAGUGCCCGCCUUGCAGGGUCCUUGGCAGAUGAGAUGACCUAACGUGGCAAAGUGGCUAGACCAGUGUGGGCCCCUUUGGAGGUCCCAUAGGAGCAAGAUGCCAGCCCUCAGAGGCCACGCUGUCAUGGUAGGAUAAGACGCCAGCCCUCAGAGGCCACGCUGUCAUGGAAGGAUGCCCUGAAACCCUGGCAGCUCCGAUGUGGCAGGUGUCUGUCUGCCAGCCCCCCAGAACCACUCAGCUCCCGGGCCGGGGCGAGACACCUCCACCACCAGCUCCUCUGGGCUUCUGGACCAGACCCUGGGUGGUGGGGACAGGUGAUGAUGUGCCGCCACCCAGGAUGGCCGCCUGACAGCCAGAGUGCAGGGGGGUGCUAUUCUGGGACCCACCGGGGUGGGGGUGGGGGCUCUCGGCCUCUCCGGAAGCCUGUGGCAUUCCUGGCACCUCCAAGCCAUCUGCUCUUCAGCCUCUGGGCCCAGGACUAGACUAGUGCUAAAAUAGCUGCUCCUGGGAGGGGCUGGACCCCCACCGUGGGCAGAGAGGGCCUCUGCUUUUUGGGGCAGGAGGGGCCACCCUGGCAGGGUAAAAAGAGAUAAACAGAAAAACAACAGCAACAAUAAUAGUAACAAUCCGGGGUUGUUGCCAUGGGGCCUGUUCUGAACAGGCUGCGCCCAGCUCACUGCAAGGAAGGACGCUUAGCCAGGCCCUGGCUGAAGCCUGCAGCUGGGCUGGACACAGCAGUCAUUGGCCUGUGUUGUGGGGGACUUGGGCCUGCCAUGGCUGCAGUGGGGACCCUGCCUGAGACAGACAGAGCUGGGGUGGUGACCAACACCGUCGGGGCACCCUCGCAGGAACUGGGCCUGGUGAACUGCCCAGGGACGGGGAAGGAGCAGGGUGAGGCCUGGGGACCCCGACACAGGCUGAGCAGCGGGAGAGGAGGCUGAGGAGGGGAAGGAGGGGGCCCGCAGAGUAGCCCCCAGGCCCCAAGUCCGGUCAGGGACAAGCUUGUUAGCUCCAGGUUCAUGUCACAACCUGCAGGGCUCCUAAGUUCAAGCUUUUUUAAACUUAAUGGGCAAACUGAGACGCAACACAAAUAGGCUUCUGACCUUGGUGUCUGAGUCCUGGAUCUGAAGUCCUUCACGGCACUCACUGUGAGCCCCUCUUAGACGCACUGCACGAAGUGAGCUUGCCAGCUCUUCCUUUAAAAAACGUGUUAGGCCGGGCGCGGUGGCUCACGCCUGUAAUCCCAGCACUUUGGGAGGCCGAGGCGGGCGGAUCCCGAGGUCAGGAGAUUGAGACCAUCCUGGCAAACAUGGUGAAACCCCGUCUCUACCAAAAAAACAAGCAAACAAAAAAAAAUUAGCAGGGCCUGGUGGCAGGCACCUGUAGUCCCAGCUACUCGGGAGGCUGACGCAGGAGAAUGGCGUGAACCCGGGAGGCGGAGCUUGCCGUGAGCGGAGAUCGCGCCACUGCACUCCACGCUGGGCGACAGAGCGAGACGCCAUCUCAAAAAAAA